UACGUAGGGUGCAAGCGUUGUCCGGAAUUAUUGGGAGUAAAGCGCUUGUAGGCGGUUUGUCGCGUCUGCUGUGAAAUUUCGGGGCUCAACCCCGAACUUGCAGUGGGUACGGGCAGACUAGAGUGUGGUAGGGGAGACUGGAAUUCCUGGUGUAGCGGUGAAAUGCGCAGAUAUCAGGAGGAACACCGGUGGCGAAGGCGGGUCUCUGGGCCGUAACUGACGCUGAGGAGCGAAAGCAUGGGGAGCGAACAGG
Molecule: ribosomal RNA, 253 nt
Filed under: uncultured bacterium
Lineage: Bacteria
Description: partial 16S ribosomal RNA
Rfam family: Bacterial small subunit ribosomal RNA
Source: RNAcentral